Molecule: long non-coding RNA, 290 nt
Filed under: Panax ginseng (ginseng)
Lineage: Eukaryota; Viridiplantae; Streptophyta; Magnoliopsida; Apiales; Araliaceae
Description: long non-coding RNA (PGIN_LNC000663)
Source: RNAcentral
UGGCUCUACCCAUGAAUAGGGUUUAAGAAACAUACUAUGAACAUUGUUUUUCAUUUUCGAAAAGGUUUAGCAGAAAUUCAUCCGCAAACCGUCAUAACUUACGGGCACGGAGGGUGAUCAGCCCCGUUGUACCCUGUAUUGAUCAAUACUACAUAACUUGAACGAAAUUCAUCGCUCACCCUUUGUCCGCCGAAGCGCAUAAAAAUUUUCCCAUUAUCGGGAUGUUCAUACAUGCCUGGUUCCAAACCCGAAGGUUUUUAAUCUUGCUCAACAAUAAUAUGUAAUUCAAC